RNAcentral lists this ribosomal RNA (397 nucleotides) under uncultured bacterium. RNAcentral describes it as "partial 16S ribosomal RNA". It matches the Rfam family "Bacterial small subunit ribosomal RNA", at positions 523 to 918 of the family's 1533-position model. The record is from RNAcentral.
AUACGUAGGGGGCAAGCGUUAUCCGGAAUUACUGGGUGUAAAGGGAGCGCAGACGGCUAAGCAAGUCUGAUGUGAAAGUCAUGGGCUCAACCCAUGGAUUGCAGUGGAAACUGCGAAGCUGGAGUGUCGGAGGGGUAAGCGGAAUUCCUGGUGUAGCGGUGAAAUGCGUAGAUAUCAGGAGGAACACCGGUGGCGAAGGCGGCUUACUGGACGAUCACUGACGUUGAGGCUCGAAAGCGUGGGGAGCAAACAGGAUUAGAUACCCUGGUAGUCCACGCGGUAAACGAUGAAUACCAGGUGUCGGGGGGCGAAGCUCUUCGGUGCCGAAAGCAAACGCAGUAAGUAUUCCACCUGGGGAGUACGUUCGCAAGAAUGAAACUCAAAGGAAUUGACGGGG